AUGCACAGAAUGGCAAUGGUAAAUAUAUAAACAUUUUGUUAAAUGAGAAAGCAUUUGACAGCAUACUUCAUCCACAGGUAUAGUCUUGGAAAGAUAUUCUGAUCAUUUGGCAUUUAGCAACAUCUUAUUGAUCUCAUAAAAAAAUCUACCACAGCAUCAGGUGUGAGGUUGGGUGCAGUGAAAAAGAAAACCAAAACAUACAGUACUUCCAAUUUAAAACGGGUGUAAAUCAAUGAUGUGUCAUUGAUUCUUUUCAUCAAAGUCAUAGACUGGACAAUGAGACAACUGCUGAUACACCAAGAGGCAUUAAAUUGAACACCUUCAUCACUUUGGAAGACCUUGAUUUUGCUAACGACCUAGCAUUAAUGUCUCAUCCACAUCAACAUAUUCAGGAUAAUACCAUAGAACUACUCUAAUAUUCAGGAAAAUG
Molecule: long non-coding RNA, 430 nt
Filed under: Mytilus galloprovincialis (Mediterranean mussel)
Lineage: Eukaryota; Metazoa; Mollusca; Bivalvia; Mytilida; Mytilidae
Source: RNAcentral